GGGGUUACGGUUCUGGAGCACUGGUGGUAGUAACAGAGGGUCUGAUUAUGGCUCAGAUUGAACGCUGGCGGGAUGUUUAUAACAUGCAAGUCGAACGGCAGCAGCCUGACUUCUGGUCUGGUGGUUAUGGCGAACGGGUGAGUAAUGUAUCGGAACGUGCCUAGUAGCGGGGGAUAACCACGCGAAAGCGUAGCUAAUACCGCAUACGUUCUUCGGGGAAAGCGGGGACCUUUCGGGCCUCGCAAUUAGAGCGCCGAUAUCGGAUUAGCUAGUUGGUGGGGUAACGGCUCACCAAGGCGACGAUCCGUAGCUGGUUUGAGAGGACGACCAGCCACACCGGGACUGAGACACGGCUCAGACUUCCCGCGGAGGCAGCAGUGGGGAAUUUUGGACAAUGGGGGAAACCCCGAUCCAGUCAUCCCGGCGUGUGCGAUGAAGGCCUGUUAUGUGCCAAUUUUUGGCAGGAAAGAACGGCACGGAAGCACACUGUGCAACUGACGGUACCUGCAGAAUAAGCACCGCUAACUACAUGCGCCAGCAGCCGCGGUAAUACGUGGUGGUGCAAGUGUUAAUCGGAAUUACUGGGCGUAAGCGUGUGCAGGCGGUUCGGAAAGAGAUGUGAAAUCCCAGAGCUUAACUUUGAACUGCAUUUUUAACUACCGAAAGCGAGGUGUGUCAGAGGGAGGUGGAAUUCGCGUGUAGUAUGAAAUGGGAUAUGCCGGAGGAACACCGAUGGCGAAGGCAGCCUCCUGGGGAUAACACUGACGCUCAUGCACGAAAGCGUGGGGAGCAAACAGGAUUAGAUACCCUGUAGUCCACGCCCCAAACGAUGUCAACUAGCUGUUGGGGCCUUCGCCUUGGUAGCGCAGCUAACGCGAAGUUGACCGCCUGGGGAGUACGGUCAAAGAUUAAACUCAAAGGAAUUGACGGGACUCCGCACAAGCGGUGGAUGAUGUGGAUUAAUUCGAUGCAACGCGAAAAACUCCACUCACUCCUUGACAUGUCUGGAAUCCCGAAGAGAUUUGGGAGUGCUCGCAAGAGAACCGGAACACAGGUGCUGCAUGUGGCUGUCGUCAGUUCGUGUCGUGAGAUGUUGGGUUAAGUCCCGCAACGAGCGCAACCUCGUCAUUAGUUGCUACGAAAGCAGCAACUUUAUCAGACUGCCGGUGACAAACCGGAGGAAGGUGGGGAUGACGUCAAGUCCUCAUGGCCCCGAGGGUAGGGCUUCAUAUCGCUUAAGUACAAUGGUCGUGAAGAGACGCCAACCAUGAGGGGGAGCCAAUCCCAGAAACCCGACUGGGAACCGGAUCGUAGUCUGCAACCUGACUGCGUGGAAGCCGGAAAUCGCCAGGACCUGCGGAUCAGCAUGUCGCGGUGAAUACGUUCCCGGUCUUUGUACACACCCGCCCGUCGCUACGGAGUGGGUUUUACCAGAAGUUAAGAAGCCUAACCUCGUAAGGAGGGCGAUUACGACACAGGUAGGAUUCAUGACUGGGGUGAAGUCGUAACAAGGUAA
Molecule: ribosomal RNA, 1516 nt
Filed under: uncultured Bordetella sp.
Lineage: Bacteria; Pseudomonadati; Pseudomonadota; Betaproteobacteria; Burkholderiales; Alcaligenaceae
Description: partial 16S-23S ribosomal RNA intergenic spacer
Rfam family: Bacterial small subunit ribosomal RNA
Source: RNAcentral